This 422-nucleotide ribosomal RNA is filed under the name uncultured bacterium. RNAcentral's name for it is "bacterial SSU rRNA". It matches the Rfam family "Bacterial small subunit ribosomal RNA", at positions 355 to 774 of the family's 1533-position model. The record is from RNAcentral.
UAAGGAAUAUUGGUCAAUGGACGCAAGUCUGAACCAGCCAUGCCGCGUGGAGGAUGAAGGUCCUCUGGAUUGUAAACUUCUUUUAUCUGGGACGAAACACUUCUUUUCUAAGAGGCCUGACGGUACCAGAUGAAUAAGCACCGGCUAACUCCGUGCCUGCAGCCGCGGUAAUACGGAGGGUGCAAGCGUUAUCCGGAUUCACUGGGUUUAAAGGGUGCGUAGGUGGGUAUGUAAGUCAGUGGUUAAAUCCCCGAGCUUAACUUGGGAACUGCCAUUGAUACUAUAUAUCUUGAAUACCGUAGAGGUAAGCGGAAUAUGUCAUGUAGCGGUGAAAUGCUUAGAUAUGACAUGGAACACCAAUUGCGAAGGCAGCUUACUAUGCGGUGAUUGACACUGACGCACGAAAGCGUGGGUAGCAAACA